RNAcentral lists this transfer RNA (49 nucleotides) under Tuberculatus konaracola. Its description in RNAcentral is "partial tRNA-Leu". Lineage: Eukaryota; Metazoa; Arthropoda; Insecta; Hemiptera; Aphididae. The record is from RNAcentral.
CAUGCAAUGAACUUAAAAUUCAUUUAUAAAGAUUAAUCUUUUUUUAGAA